UACACUCCUGCGGGAGGCAGCAGUGGGGAAUAUUGCACAAUGGGCGCAAGCCUGAUGCAGCCAUGCCGCGUGUAUGAAGAAGGCCUUCGGGUUGUAAAGUACUUUCAGCGGGGAGGAAGGCGAUAAGGUUAAUAACCUUGUCGAUUGACGUUACCCGCAGAAGAAGCACCGGCUAACUCCGUGCCAGCAGCCGCGGUAAUACGGAGGGUGCAAGCGUUAAUCGGAAUUACUGGGCGUAAAGCGCACGCAGGCGGUCUGUCAAGUCGGAUGUGAAAUCCCCGGGCUCAACCUGGGAACUGCAUUCGAAACUGGCAGGCCAGAGUCUUGUAGAGGGGGGUAGAAUUCCAGGUGGAGCGGUGAAAUGCGUAGAGAUCUGGAGGAAUACCGGUGGCGAAGGCGGCCCCCUGGACAAAGACUGACGCUCAGGUGCGAAAGCGUGGGGAGCAAACAGGAUUAGAAACCCCAGUAGUCCCAUGAU
This 478-nucleotide ribosomal RNA is filed under the name uncultured organism. RNAcentral describes it as "partial 16S ribosomal RNA". It matches the Rfam family "Bacterial small subunit ribosomal RNA", at positions 332 to 801 of the family's 1533-position model. The record is from RNAcentral.